Molecule: ribosomal RNA, 100 nt
Filed under: uncultured bacterium
Lineage: Bacteria
Description: partial 16S ribosomal RNA
Rfam family: Bacterial small subunit ribosomal RNA
Source: RNAcentral
CACACCGCCCGUCACACCAUGGGAGUUGGCUUUACCCGAAGGCGGUGCGCUAACCAGCAAUGGAGGCAGCCGACCACGGUAGGGUCAGCGACUGGGGGUG